GAACGCAUCUUGCGCUUGCUGGUAUUCCGGCAAGCAUGCCUGUUUGAGUGUCAUGAAAAUUAUCAACCAUGACUUGGGUUUAGGCCCUCGUUCUUGGCUUGGAUUUGGGUGCUUGCGGUCUUGUGCUGCUCACCUUAAAAGGAUUAGCUGGACAUGUCUUUUGACUUGGUUCUACUUGGCGUAAUAAGUAUUUCGCUGAGGACAUCCCUUCUGGGGUGGCCAAGACUCUGGCAAACGUCUGCUUUCUAACUCGACUGUCCUCGGACAUCACUUUUUAUGAUCUGGCCUCAAAUCAGGUAGGACUACCCGCUGAACUUAAG
RNAcentral lists this unclassified non-coding RNA (320 nucleotides) under uncultured Tremellomycetes. Its description in RNAcentral is "sequence contains 5.8S rRNA gene". The stretch from base 1 to 53 matches the Rfam family "5.8S ribosomal RNA", at positions 102 to 154 of the family's 154-position model. The record is from RNAcentral. Lineage: Eukaryota; Fungi; Basidiomycota; Tremellomycetes.